Molecule: non-coding RNA, 81 nt
Organism: Leopardus geoffroyi (Geoffroy's cat)
Lineage: Eukaryota; Metazoa; Chordata; Mammalia; Carnivora; Felidae
Source: the annotation of a RefSeq genome assembly
GCCCAGCUGGCUCAGUCGGUAGAGCACGCGACUCCCGAUCUCGGGGUUGUGAGUUCAUGCCCUCAAGCCCCACACUGGGCA